UCCCAGUCCAAGUCCAAAGUCAAAAGUUCAUCAAAGAAGUACCUCCUUUUCAUGAAUUUCCUCCCCUUUCAAUACCUCUCCACAUCCUUUCUCUAACCCAUACCACCUCCAGCUCCCAGCCCUGAGCUCCUGAGAGAAAUGUCUCUAACCAGAGCUGCCACAGAUCCUUGGAGACCCAGCCCCACAGCAGAGGCAAAGGAACAAUCCAAGUCCAAAG
Pipistrellus kuhlii (Kuhl's pipistrelle) is the source of this 217-nucleotide long non-coding RNA. RefSeq lists it as uncharacterized. NCBI's taxonomy places the organism in Eukaryota, Metazoa, Chordata, Mammalia, Chiroptera, Vespertilionidae. The transcript has 3 exons. The record is from RefSeq and is a predicted model, not a curated record.